This 845-nucleotide ribosomal RNA is filed under the name Trametes sp. RNAcentral's name for it is "partial large subunit ribosomal RNA". It matches the Rfam family "Eukaryotic large subunit ribosomal RNA", at positions 88 to 920 of the family's 3401-position model. Lineage: Eukaryota; Fungi; Basidiomycota; Agaricomycetes; Polyporales; Polyporaceae. The record is from RNAcentral.
UGCGAGUGAAGCGGGAAAAGCUCAAAUUUAAAAUCUGGCGGUCUUUGGCCGUCCGAGUUGUAGUCUGGAGAAGUGCUUUCCGCGCUGGACCGUGUAUAAGUCUCUUGGAACAGAGCGUCAUAGAGGGUGAGAAUCCCGUCUUUGACACGGACUACCAGUGCUUUGUGAUGCGCUCUCAAAGAGUCGAGUUGUUUGGGAAUGCAGCUCAAAAUGGGUGGUAAAUUCCAUCUAAAGCUAAAUAUUGGCGAGAGACCGAUAGCGAACAAGUACCGUGAGGGAAAGAUGAAAAGCACUUUGGAAAGAGAGUUAAACAGUACGUGAAAUUGCUGAAAGGGAAACGCUUGAAGUCAGUCGCGUCUGCCGGAACUCAGCCUUGCUUUUGCUUGGUGCACUUUCCGGUUGACGGGCCAGCAUCGAUUUUGACCGUCGGAAAAGGGCUAGGGAAAUGUGGCACCUUCGGGUGUGUUAUAGUCUCUAGUCGCAUACGGCGGUUGGGAUCGAGGACCGCAGCGCGCCGCAAGGCAGGGGUUCGCCCACUUUCGCGCUUAGGAUGCUGGCAUAAUGGCUUUAAACGACCCGUCUUGAAACACGGACCAAGGAGUCUAACAAACCUGCGAGUGUUUGGGUGGUAAACCCGAGCGCGUAAUGAAAGUGAAAGUUGAGACCUCUGUCGUGGAGGGCAUCGACGCCCGGACCUGACGUUCUCUGAAGGAUCCGCGGUAGAGCAUGUUUGUUGGGACCCGAAAGAUGGUGAACUAUGCCUGAAUAGGGUGAAGCCAGAGGAAACUCUGGUGGAGGCUCGUAGCGAUUCUGACGUGCAAAUCGAUCGUCAAAUUUGCGUAUAG